This 59-nucleotide transfer RNA is filed under the name Paratapes undulatus (undulate venus clam). RNAcentral's name for it is "tRNA-Glu". Lineage: Eukaryota; Metazoa; Mollusca; Bivalvia; Venerida; Veneridae. The record is from RNAcentral.
CUUAUGGUGUAAGGUUAAUAACACAUCGGAUUUUCGUACCGAAGAUGAAAUUUUCUAAG